Molecule: long non-coding RNA, 469 nt
Organism: Mytilus californianus (California mussel)
Lineage: Eukaryota; Metazoa; Mollusca; Bivalvia; Mytilida; Mytilidae
Exons: 3
Source: RefSeq, a predicted model, not a curated record
ACAUAAUGUGGUGCACACAAGCAUUCCUUUAGCCUGUCUAAACCAGCCUGACUUGGUAAAGGUACAUAAUGUCGCGGGUAUAAACCAGCUUGAAGUGCACACAAGCAUUCCUUUAGCCUGUCUAAACCAGCCUGACUUGGUAAAGGUACAUAAUAUGGUGGGUAUAAACCAGCUUGAAGUGCACACAAGCAUUCCUUUAGCCUGUCUAAACCAGCCUGACUUGGUAAAGGUACAUAAUAUGGUGGGUAUAAACCAGCUUGAAGUGCACACAAGCAUUCCUUUAGCCUGUCUAAACCAGCCUGACUUGGUAAAGGUACAUAGUGUGGUUGGUAUAAACCAGCUUGAAGUGCACUCAAGCAUUCCUUUAGCCUGUCUAAACCAGCCUGACUUGGUAAAGGUACAUAAUGUGGCGGGUAUAAACCAGCUUGAAGUGCACACAAGCAUUACUUUAGCCUGUCUAAACCACCCU